GGUCCCGUAGCGCAGGGGCAGGCGCACCGCUACGACAUGGCGGAGGACGCCGGUUCGAAUCCGGCCGGGACCA
RNAcentral lists this transfer RNA (73 nucleotides) under Kitasatospora sp. MAP5-34. RNAcentral's name for it is "tRNA-Val". It matches the Rfam family "tRNA". Rfam says of the family: Transfer RNA (tRNA) molecules are approximately 80 nucleotides in length. Their secondary structure includes four short double-helical elements and three loops (D, anti-codon, and T loops). Further hydrogen bonds mediate the characteristic L-shaped molecular structure. tRNAs have two regions of fundamental functional importance: the anti-codon, which is responsible for specific mRNA codon recognition, and the 3' end, to which the tRNAs corresponding amino acid is attached (by aminoacyl-tRNA synthetases). tRNAs cope with the degeneracy of the genetic code in two manners: having more than one tRNA (with a specific anti-codon) for a particular amino acid; and 'wobble' base-pairing, i.e. permitting non-standard base-pairing at the 3rd anti-codon position. The record is from RNAcentral. Lineage: Bacteria; Bacillati; Actinomycetota; Actinomycetes; Kitasatosporales; Streptomycetaceae.